RNAcentral lists this small nucleolar RNA (173 nucleotides) under Pachysolen tannophilus NRRL Y-2460. RNAcentral describes it as "Small nucleolar RNA snR4". It matches the Rfam family "Small nucleolar RNA snR4". Lineage: Eukaryota; Fungi; Ascomycota; Pichiomycetes; Alaninales; Pachysolenaceae. The record is from Rfam by way of RNAcentral.
AACUAUAACAGUCAAUGAUGAUAGGUUACAGUUAAGUCAUCCGUUACAGUUUGUUUCUAUCUUUUUGAAAAAAAAGAUAGAAAUACUCACUUUUCAUGUGGGCGCUGUGGAUUACACCGCGACUUUUUCACCACCUUCUGAUAGCGGUGUUUAAAAAGUUUACUCUGAGGCUG